GUGUUUGCGGAAGUGAACGUCUUGUCUUGUUUUGGUCGCCCCCUUUUCUGUAAAAAUAAAUCAAAACUACAACAGAUGAUGACCCAGAUGCCCAGUCCUCCACCUGAAGAGUUGGUCAAACAAUGGGAAAGUGAACAGAAGCGACUCAGGCAGCAGGUGGUGGAGGAAGACAUUGAGGACUGGCAGAGGAGCCCAGACUUCUCCGGCCUGGAGCGGGUCGGUGGCGUGGACCUCUCCUUUAUCAAAGGGGAUGAAGUCAGCGCCUGCGCCCAGCUGGUGGUGCUCAGUUACCCUGAUUUGAAGAUUCUGUAUGAAGACAGUCACAUGGUGACCCUGACGGCCCCCUAUGUCUCUGGCUUCCUGGCCUUCAGGGAAACCCCUUUCCUCCUGGAGGCACUGCAGCGACUGAAGAUCAGCCAGCCUACACUUAUGCCUCAGGUGGUGUUUGUGGAUGGGAAUGGUCUUUUCCACUACAGAGAGUUCGGCUUGGCGUGUCAUCUUGGGGUGCUGUCAGGUCUUCCCUGUGUGGGCGUGGCUAAGAACCUGCUGCAGGUGCAGGGGGUGCUUAAAGACGAGGAGCACCAAUCACAAAUUGCUGCUCUGCAAAAAGGAGGAGACAGCUUCCCACUCACCGCCGCCUCGGGCAAAGUGCUCGGAAAGGCGCUGAGAAGCUGCGAUAAGAGCUUCAAGCCUGUGUACGUCUCUGUGGGUCACAAAAUCAGCCUGGGCACCGCUGUCCGCCUGACACACUCAUGCUGCCGCUACCGGGUACCUGAGCCCAUCAGACAGGCUGACGUUCGCUCCAGAGAAUACCUACGGAUACACUUCCCAGCUACCGAUACAUGAAUUAGACACUGAGGUUGCGGAUGCUGCACUGGAGAAUCUGAAGAUAAAGAGCCUCGGUCUCUGAAGACCCCUUAAAGGUCCAUCUAUAAGCCACGUCUGGUCUGCCGCUCUAAUUAGCCGUGACACUUUCCUGGACGGGGGACAUCGGCUUGGUGCAAUCUGCUGGGUUUCCUAAGGUUGAAAACUUUUUGAUCAUUUUGAAUGAAGAAAAGAAACUGGUGCACUGUUUAAUUACUAGGAUUAAUUGGACUGUAUGUAUGAUGGAAAGGGGUUCGAAGAAUAUUGAGACUAUUGUACUCAUUAGUAUCAUAUCAGAUCUGAUGAAACAAUAAAAAACAAAAUCUUGUUUGAUUUAUUGAUUGCAAACAGCUGCUUGUUUUUACAUUUUGCCCCGUCUGUAAAGGGGUUUGAAUACUUUUAGGUGCAGCUCCAUCUCUACAUUUUCUCUGACAAUUAGUUUUUUUUAAACGGAAGGAAGAUAGCACCUUAACGUCAUGUUCUAUCUCAGUGAAAAACAUGCAUGCAGACAUGAAUACAAUGACGACAAAGUUAGCCUGAAGUCUCCUCUGCUGAAUGUCCAAGCACACAACAUGAGUCCUUUACUUGUUCUUUGGGUUUGACGUAUUUUGUAAAAAAAAAAAAAAAAAAACAUUUUGUGGACUACGCAAGUCGACACGCUGUCACAGUUAUUCUGUCGUACAGAAUCACAGGGAAUUAGAACAUAUUCAUGCUUUUCUCUUUUUGGUGAUCCAAAGCAAUCUCCAAUUCUCUCAAGUGAAUGACGUGCAAGAGAGAGAAAAGAUAAAGUGCCUUCAGUUCCCAUCAUCCUGGGGGCUCCAUCCGGCUCAUUUCUCACCACUUGGUUUAGCCAUCAAACAGCGUUUUAUGUGGUCCCCAGCUCCUCGUGAUCUCAGCGUCUGCAGCCAUCAAAUAUUAGCCGACUGUGUUUCUUACGGGAGCGUCUAGGCUACUCCUAAGCCUUGAGGUGGAUCUCAUCUGGAUGGAGAUUAAAAAAAGAAACUGAGCGGGGAGAACACACCUCCUGCUUUUGGUGGCUUGCUAAUUGACAGUGUGCACUUUGAUGCAUUUGGGACAUUGUGUUCCUGCGCAAAACUGCCUCUGUGUGUGUUUCUGUGUGUAGCCUGCAGUUGUUGACCAGCUGAUGCAUGCAUGCAGGAAUCAUACUCUAGUGACUGUUUCAUCUACAUCUGGCCAGCUGUGUCCUCUCCGUGGCUGUCCCCUGACGGUGUCCUCCUUCACCUCUGCAGAACUGCUGCACUGUUCACUGUGUGCACAUGCAAGACAAAUAUUAGAGCCGAAAGGCCCCUGAAUGUCGCCAUACAAUGAAAAGGAUGGUAUAUUUUUCAAAUUGGAUUUUCUUUCUACUCCUCUAAGAACAUAAUUAGUGAGCUAUGUCUGUCAUGAAUAAGCCAGAUGUGAAGCAGUUUUUUGUUUUUCAUUUUUCUUUCAUUUGAAAUUAUACAUAUUUCACAUGGAGAAAAUUCAGGUCACUUCAAAGAAUAGUCCAUAAAAUUGUCAAAGAAAAAGAACAUUGGCUCCAAUACGCCAAGGCUCUCAUUGAGUUUCUCCUGCUUUCUUUAACUUCAUUGAGUUGUGCCUUCAAAAGCCACAAUAUUAAAGGGUUAACUGUAACUCUAUUGUGAAAAUAUACAUCACAAUUUAUUUAGACAAGAUUACAUUUAUUGGGCACUGAGGCUCACUUUUGGACUCUGUUGUGAAUGAGUCGCUCUUGGAGUCAUUUUGGUAGACUGGCCACUUCUGGGAAGGGUUCUGUAAUUAAGCCAGGUAGUUUGGAGUCAUUUUUCACUCAAUAAAUAUAAUAAUUAUUUUACAACCACAGUCUUUAUUUACUCUUGUUUUCUUUGUUAUUAAAAUUUUAUGUCCUGAAUCAUCAAAUCAUUUCACAGAGACAUGAAAUGAUUGUCUAUUCAUGUUCUCACGUUUUCAUGAGGGACUUUUUUCUAUGACUCUGAAACAAGUUUCCCUUUGUGACUGUGGGACACUCACAUGAACUCUCUAAGCAGCUAAGGCCUAACCAUAAAGUUACCUUGUUGGCAUCUCUCAGUUUACAACAAAAUGUUGCCACAGCAGCCUUCAGGUGUUUCAUUGCGAUCAUAUCACGGCGCCUCAGCUGUUUUCAGAAUAUUUAUUCUCACUUUACCGGUUUGCAUUUUUUUUCAUCUCCUGUCUCCAGAUCGGAAUAAACCCCGGUCUUCUCCUUCUGUUUUCAUUUUGAAAUCUCCUCUCUGUUGGCUUUGUCGCUCCGAGCUCUGCGGCCGCACGCCUUCUGCUCAGCUUUAACUCGCCGCUGAAUCAUUGCUUCAAUUCUUUUCUCUUUUACAGUUUCUCUCCGUCAUCUCCGAGCAAUCAGUCCCAAGCUACUCAUCCAAGACAAAAAGUUACCGCAUCUCUCUCUUUCUCUCUCUCUGUCUCUCUCUCUCUCUUUCGCUUCUUUAUGUAAUUCCAACUAUUUUUUGAAAAAUUAUAUAAUAUUUUUCCAGCAAAACAAUAUCUUUGCCAGUGAGCCUUAUAGCAGAGCUGAGUCAUGUUGAGUCGAACAGUCAUCCUGGCUGGCGAGCUGUAAUGUGCUGGGUAUUAUCAUUAGGGCAUACGUCAAACACUUUGUCUGCGCUGGCAGGGUGGUGAGCUCUCUUGGCUCUCACUGCAGCACCUUGAUUUAAGCUUGCAGUCAGCAGUUAACAAAGCUAAUUCAGCAGCGGAGAUUUUGCACUCCUUUCCCUUAUUUGUGCCGUUGUACCCUGUAAAUACAACAGAUGUCUCAUAUCCUAGUUACAUUUGCAGCCAUACAGUUUAUCACAACACCUUAUGUCGGUUUUGGAGGCUCAAACCAGGCUUGAUUUUUGUGUGUGUGUGUGUGUGUGUGUGUGUGUGUGUGCUAUCAGAUCCAAAGAUGGUUGCAAUUCGCAGAACAAAGCGUGUUCGUGUUAAAAUAUGUUCAGAGAUUUAUAAACCUUUUGUGAUUCGUGUUUCGGUAUGUUCGCCACUAAACUAGAAAAGACAACCAAACGUACAAGAACUAAAGAGCGUUUUCAGUCAUAAAUCACUGCUGCAUGCAGUGCUGCUUUGAGGUUAAGCCUGAAUUUUUCUUUUCAUAUUGAGCAACUGAAGUCGACUGCUUAUGGAGUUUAAUAUGCAUAGGGGAUCCUUAUCCCGCUGCAGAAGAUGUCCCAGUCUUUUUACAGAUGGUGUGCUGUUUGCCUCCAUAAUUUGUUGCUUUUAAAUUGAAUCUCUCCUUACCUCUGCCAGAGGAAUGUUCUCUGUGUCACAGGCUCCAAAACAAAUUCAAAGCAAGAUGGAUCCACCUCCAUAGCAGUUGGUGAUUUUUUCUUCAUCUCCCGAAUGCAAAUUCUGCUGAAAAAGUUUAUUUCAACUUCGGCUCAGUUUGGUUCUUCUGUCAUUACGAUGCGUUGCCAUUUUAUCCCUUCCUACAAUGAUUUUGCACAUGUAAGCAAACUAUUUCCUACCAAUUCACUUAAUAAUGAUUUUAAUGAUCUGGAUAAACCAUCAAAUAGACAAGUCGCACAUUUAAUUCAACUACUUUUCUCUAGACUUUAGGUACAAAACUUGACAACCUCAUUCUUUGAGCAAUACUGAUCUAGCUUGAUAUGUAAAAGUUCAGGGGGUGUGAAUACUUUUGGAAGGCUCUAUAUGUUUUUUUGAACCCUUUUUCCAAUCUAUAUGUGAACUCUUCAAAGGAGGAAGCUGAGGGAGGAGCGAACUUCAUUUACUGGUACAAAAGACAAGAUAAAUGUGUUCUUGAAGCAGGGAGGCUGGCACUGAAAUAAGAAUACACAAAACAAAACAAGAUGCCAAAUGGGAACAAAAACGAAGCAAAACAGGGACCAAGCCACAUCUAAUGAAAGAACAAGCAUCCAACGAGAAAAAAGCUUCAGGGACUACAUAAACUCUGAGGGAGUAAAUAACUGAAAACAAAGCCGGUGCAGUGGGAGCACCGAAAAUACAACUAACAGCAACAGACCAUAAGAAAAAAAAAAAACACAACAAUGCAUACAUUUAGACCACAAAGCAACUAUACAA
This is an RNA transcript of Xiphophorus hellerii (green swordtail), 4926 nucleotides long. It is a transcript of the gene named endonuclease V, with no coding region annotated. NCBI's taxonomy places the organism in Eukaryota, Metazoa, Chordata, Actinopteri, Cyprinodontiformes, Poeciliidae. The transcript is spliced from 10 exons. The record is from RefSeq and is a predicted model, not a curated record.